UUAAAAUACCGCUUCUCGUUCGAUCACCGAAGUUAAGAAACGUCGAGCUUAGUCAUUACCUUGAUGGGGGGCCACUUGAGAAUACCAGGUGAUGUA
This is a non-coding RNA of Acanthosepion pharaonis, 96 nucleotides long. The record is from the annotation of a GenBank genome assembly. Lineage: Eukaryota; Metazoa; Mollusca; Cephalopoda; Sepiida; Sepiidae.